GGAAUUUGGAGGCCAAGGCAACACCUUGGACACUGUCAUGUUCCUCAAACCAUUCCUGAACAUUUUUUUUUUGUGUGUGUGACAGGGUGCAUUAUGUUGCUGAAAGAGGCCACUGCCAUCAGGGAACACCAUGGCCAUGAACGGGAGUACGUUGUCUGCAAAAAUUUCUAGUUCAGUGGUAUGUAUCAAAGUAAUACCAUUAUUGCUAGGACCCAAGGUCUCACAGCAGAACAUAGCCCAGAGCAUAACACUGCCUCUGCCGGAUCUGAUGCUUUCCUACGGGGAGGCAUAAUGCGCGCGUGCCACUCGCCAUGCAUGCGCCUUAGCACCCACUCGUCAAGGGACAGAGGAGAGCACCCACUUGUCAAGGGACAAUAGUAUCCAUUUAAGA
Non-coding RNA from Pelobates cultripes (western spadefoot toad), 391 nucleotides. NCBI's taxonomy places the organism in Eukaryota, Metazoa, Chordata, Amphibia, Anura, Pelobatidae. The record is from the annotation of a GenBank genome assembly.